CAAUAGCGUAUAUUAAAGUUGUUGCGGUUAAAAAGCUCGUAGUUGGAUUUCUGGCACAGCGUCCCUGACCCGCGCCCGCAAGGGCGUGAGCGCACGGGGUUACGCUUGUCAUCCUUCGAGAGAGCGGGUGCUGCCCUUCACUGGGAUUGGCGCUCGCGAUCCCGAUCUUUUACUUUGAAAAAAUUAGAGUGUUUAAAGCAGGCUUGCGCCUUGAAUACAUUAGCAUGGAAUAAUAAUUUAGGACUUCGUUCCUAUUUUGUUGGUUCUCUGGAGUGAAGUAAUGAUUGAUAGGGAUAGUUGGGGGUGCUAGAACUCAGCGGCCAGAGGUGAAAUUCUUGGAUUCGCUGAAGUCUAACUUAUGCGAAAGCAUUCACCAAGGAUGUCUUCUUUAA
Molecule: ribosomal RNA, 392 nt
Filed under: uncultured eukaryote
Lineage: Eukaryota
Description: partial 18S ribosomal RNA
Rfam family: Eukaryotic small subunit ribosomal RNA
Source: RNAcentral